UGAGAAAUAUUGGUCAAUGGGCGAGAGCCUGAACCAGCCACGUCGCGUGAAGGAAGACUGACCUUACGGUUUGUAAACUUCUUUUGUAGAGGGGUAAUGGCAGAUACGUGUAUUUGCGUGAAAGUACUCUACGAAUAAGAAUCGGCUAACUCCGUGCCAGCAGCCGCGGUAAUACGGGGGAUGCGAGCGUUAUCCGGAAUUAUUGGGUUUAAAGGGUGCGCAGGUGGCUAAUCAGGUCAGUGGUGAAAAGCUAUGGCUCAACCAUGGUCUUGCCAUUGAAACCGUAUAGCUAGAGAUGAGACGAGGUAGGCGGAAUGUGUGGUGUAGCGGUGAAAUGCAUAGAUAACACACAGAACUCCGAUUGCGAAGGCAGCUUGCCAGGCUUUAUCUGACACUUAGGCACGACAGCGUGGGGAUCAAACAGG
RNAcentral lists this ribosomal RNA (425 nucleotides) under Verrucomicrobiota bacterium. Its description in RNAcentral is "Verrucomicrobia bacterium partial 16S ribosomal RNA". It matches the Rfam family "Bacterial small subunit ribosomal RNA", at positions 355 to 776 of the family's 1533-position model. The record is from RNAcentral. Lineage: Bacteria; Pseudomonadati; Verrucomicrobiota.